UGGCGUAGGAUGUAAGGAGUAAAUUUUGUAGGACUUUGAGGUAUGGAAGUAAGGGUUGAAUAAGGUUGGGAUUGAGUUUUGUAGGACUUGAGUGAGGUGGAGAAGGAUGUAAAAUAGGAUGAGUAAGAUGUAAGCAAGGAUUUGAUCUCGCAGGACUUUUUUGUAGGAUGAGGGGGGCAGGGAAGGAUGCUUGUAAGGUAGGAUUGAAGUAGAAUGUAAGGAUUUGAUCUCUCAGGACUUUUUUGUAGGAUGAGUGAGGCAGGGAAGGAUGCUUGUAAGGUAGGAUUGAAGUAGGAUGUAAGGAUUUAAUCUCACAGGACUUUUUUGUAGGAUGAGCGAGGCAGGGAAGGAUGCUUGUAAGGUAGGAUUGAAGUAGGAUGUUAGGAUUUAAUCUCACAGGACUUUUUUGCAGGAUGAGCGAGGCAGGGAAGGAUGCUUGUAAGGUAGGAUUGAAGUAGGAUGUAAGGAUUUGAUCUUGCAGGACUUUGUGUGGUAGAGAAAGAUGCUUGUAAGGGUAACCAUAUCCUCUGUUUGUUAGGGUGAUGGGGGCGGUCUGUUAGCUUACCCAAAAAAUACCCUUCCCUUUAACAACAUUUCCUAUAUAGUCAAGGCAAAGGUCCAUUAGCUCUCCUGCUGCCCAUGUCCUUUCCCGUAACCAUAUUUUCCAUCCAUUAAGGUUACAGCAGAGGUUCGCUAGCUAUCCUGCCUUCCAUAUCCUUUACUUUAACCAUAUUUCCCAUCCAUCAAGGUUACGGCAGAGGUUCGCUAGCUAUCCUGCCUUCCAUAUCCUUCCCUUAACCAUAUUUCCCAUCCAUUAAGGUUACGGCAGAGGUCCGCUAGCUAUCCUGCCUUCCAUAUCCUUCCCUUUAACCAUAUUUCCCAUCCAUUAAGGUUACGGCAGAGGUCCGCUAGCUAUCCUGCCUUCCAUAUCCUUCCCUUUAACCAUAUUUUCCAUCCAUUAAGGUUACAGCAGAGGUCCGCUAGCUAUCCUGCCUUCCAUAUCCCUCCCUUUAACCAUAUUUCCCAUCCAUUAAGGUUACGGCAGAGGUCCACUAGCUAUCCUGCCUUCCAUAUCCUUCCCUAUACCCAUAUUUCCCAUUCAUUAAAGUUACGGCAGAGCUUCCUUACCUCCUACAUCCCUUCCUUUCAUCAUAGUAUUUUCUAAUC
Eriocheir sinensis (Chinese mitten crab) is the source of this 1167-nucleotide long non-coding RNA. RefSeq lists it as uncharacterized. Lineage: Eukaryota; Metazoa; Arthropoda; Malacostraca; Decapoda; Varunidae. The record is from RefSeq and is a predicted model, not a curated record. The transcript has 3 exons.